RNAcentral lists this long non-coding RNA (702 nucleotides) under Brassica napus (rape). RNAcentral's name for it is "long non-coding RNA (BNAP_LNC001348)". The record is from RNAcentral. Lineage: Eukaryota; Viridiplantae; Streptophyta; Magnoliopsida; Brassicales; Brassicaceae.
CUUAAACAUUAAUGUUGAUUUAAUUAAAUGGAAAACAAAUAAAUGCUAGAUAAUCGAUCCUUAGUGGGUUGAUUUGGUGACCGAAAAUAUCAAGGGUUAUUAAAACACGUGUCAGCUGCUCAUUUAUUUGUAUUUUUUUUCUUUUUCUUUCCUUUCUUUCUUCUAAUUUAUUUUGUAACCGUUUUGUUCUUGUUUUCUCCGCGAAAAGAAAAUGAUCAAAACCGACGACGGAAACGACGAUUCUGUCGGUCCACUCGACGUCUCCUCCGUCUUCGCCGUGAUUAGAAGGAUCGAAACCCACCACGGACGACGACUCUCUCGGUCCUCAACGCGGCUCCUCCGUCUUGUCUUGUUUUCUCCGUCGGAAGAAGGGUCUAAAAUCCAUCACAAUCGACGCCUCUCUCGUUCCUCACCGCGACUCCUCCGUCUUGUCUCCUCACCGCGACUCCUUUGACUCGUCCGUCUUGUCUCCUCACGAAGACUCCUCACCGUGACUCCUCUGACUCCUCCGUCUUGUCUCCUCACCGCGACUCCUCUUACUCCUCCGUCUUGUCUCCUAACCGCGACUCCUCUGACUUGUCUCCGUUAGAAGAUGGAUCGAAACCCACCACAAUCGACUACUCUCUCGGAGCCCACCGCAUCUGCUCUGUCGGUUCUCAUCUUCUCCGAGUGAAGAAUGGUUCAAACCCAUGACUUCCCGUG